CAGAGCCAGUCGGAGAGAGUGAGAGAUUGAGCGGCCUGGCCGGGAGGACUGCGGGAACCAGGCUGUAAAACCUGAUAACCAAGCCUGACAGAAGAGGCCAGAGCAGAACCAGUGGGAUGUCAGCGAGCCCGCAGCCUCUGCUGGGAGUGAAGCCUGGGUUUUCACACACAGACUGGGAUUUCUCUAUUGCGGCUGCGUGAGAACCUUCGGGGCGCCCCUCCCACUCAGCAGUGUCCUGGAAGCUUCUGGGUGACUGAGGGUCACUUUAUCUGCACAGUCUUGUUCUGACUUCUGGAAACCACAGGCCCGUCCGCUCUGAGGUUCUGCUCAUGACUAGGUCCUGUCUACUCUGUCUCUGAGGUGCUUGGUGCUACUGGCGGGGACCCUCUCGGAGCAGUUUCACUUCCCUUCAUGAGAAGGACGACCUCUUCAUUCAGAGGGGGAAGCUGGGGCCCUGGCAACCCGCUCAGCUUCACAUAAAACCACGGCUGCUCCCUCUGCGGCCCAACGCUCAGUGCUGUUCCGGGGCCUGCCCUACGGCUCUGGGGGGCCAUGCGGUCACUCCCACAGCUAGCCAGACCACGCCGGGUGCCUCAGGUGCCUCCAAGGACGGCCACAAUCUGGCUCCUCCUCAGGACUUCACCCUCACCUUUCUGUCACCCUCGCCAUCUCCCCGGCACGCCAGGCUCUCACUCUCUCAGACAAGACCUCAGGCCCUCAUCAGCCUCAGAGCCUCUACUUCUGAAAGCCUCUCCACCUUCCCAACCCUCCCCAUUUCUCCAAGUCCAUCUUGAGUCCCACCUCCUUCAUGAAGCCAUUCCAAAACCCAAGGCCUGCGUGGUGUGGUAAUGCAAAGACCGAAUCUCAGCCUCUUUUUUUUUUUUUUGCAGUCUGAACUAAGGGGAAGUUACUUCUUAAACUUUCCACUUUUUUGCCUUAUAGUAUACUUAUCUUCUUGGGUUGCUGUGAGAAUUUUAAAAAGUAGUAUGUGGAAAGCACCUAGCAUUAGGUCUAGCAAAUGGUUGAUAGUGAUUAUUACUAAAAACUACAGCGUUCACUGUCUAUACAUAAAUAUUCAUAUCACCGCUCAUGCAUGGUGAUUCUUGAAUAUACUCAGCACGGUGCUCCGUCACAUACAUGGGAGUCACACACCAUGGGGGGUUAGAGUCGCUAAAGUCAACAUGUAAGACAAAAAUAGAAUAUAGUCAAAAUUACUCUUAAAAAUCCCUUAACUUGCUCACCAAAUAGAUUACACAUGCUUUUGUAUAAACCAUCCUUAUAUCUGAAAGCAUAAUGUACACAGUGAAGUAGACAAAAUACAAUGGUUACAAUUUCAGACUACAAGUAAUAUAGUUUCCUACACAACCACAUACAGGUAUCCUCUGCUUUUUCAAAGUUUGCUUUAUGCCACUUAGCUUUACAGAAGACCUACAUUAGUACCUGCUUCCGACAAGCAAAAGAAAUCUGAAGAAGUGGUUUGCUUUUACGGAAAAAAAAAAAAAAA
Long non-coding RNA from Capra hircus (goat), 1504 nucleotides. RefSeq lists it as uncharacterized. NCBI's taxonomy places the organism in Eukaryota, Metazoa, Chordata, Mammalia, Artiodactyla, Bovidae. The record is from RefSeq and is a predicted model, not a curated record. The transcript is spliced from 2 exons.